This 623-nucleotide long non-coding RNA is filed under the name Homo sapiens (human). RNAcentral's name for it is "non-protein coding lnc-LRRC49-15:1". Lineage: Eukaryota; Metazoa; Chordata; Mammalia; Primates; Hominidae. The record is from RNAcentral.
CCAACAUCCUCAUAUCACAGCACGCUCCAGGACUGGGGAAUCCCUGAGGAUGGCUCAGGGCAGCCCAGCCUCCUUUCUGAAAACAGGAUUCAGAGCUCAUAGAAGCCUCCCUGCCCUGGGAGUCUCAAGAGAGCACUUAAGCACAGACACCUGGUUUAGCUUGGUAGGCACCCCUAGCCUGCGGAGCUUACCCCCGCCGCACACAUCUGGAGAGUCAACCAUUACAAAGAGAAAUAGCAGGACUGGUCCUGCCCCUCCGGGAUGGUGCCGCCAGUCUAGAGUAAAAUGCCAAGCACGGGCUCAAGACUCCUGCUGAGGCCAAUGGAGAAGCUGAGAUAUUUUGAAAGCCACCCCUGAGGCGAGAAAGUUGUGCAGAAGGCACUAAUUGUCAACGCUCCCCAAGGACAGCCUGCCUGUUCCAAGGCAGGAGGAAAGGGCCGAGCUGUCAGCGCCCGAUUCCUGGGGGAGUCUGCCUCGCCCGCGCUCAGCCAGCCAGGCCAGCUUCCUGCCCGGCAUGGAGGAGAUAAAACACAGGAACACAGACGAUCUUACAUAACCGAAGCGGGACUGAACAUUUUCAGCAAAUUACCUCUGUUAUGAGCUCUGCCAUAAAAUCGCCUCAC